GGUUAAGUUAGAAAGGGCGCACGGUGGAUGCCUUGGCACUAGGAGCCGAAGAAGGACGGGACUAACACCGAUAUGCUUUGGGGAGCUGUACGUAAGCGUUGAUCCAGAGAUUUCCGAAUGGGGGAACCCACUAUCUUUAGUCGGAUAGUAUCCUUACGUGAAUACAUAGCGUGAGGAAGGCAGACCCAGGGAACUGAAACAUCUAAGUACCUGGAGGAAGAGAAAGAAAAAUCGAUUUCCUGAGUAGCGGCGAGCGAAACGGAAAGAGCCCAAACCAAGAAGCUUGCUUCUUGGGGUUGUAGGACACUCUAUACGGAGUUACAAAAGAAAGUUAUAAAUGAAGCGGUCUGGAAAGGCCCGCCAAAGACGGUAACAGCCCGGUAGUUGAAAUGGCUUUCCCUCCAGAGUGGAUCCUGAGUACGGCGGAACACGUGAAAUUCCGUCGGAAUCCGGGAGGACCAUCUCCCAAGGCUAAAUACUCCCUAGUGACCGAUAGUGAACCAGUACCGUGAGGGAAAGGUGAAAAGCACCCCGGAAGGGGAGUGAAACAGUUCCUGAAACCGUGUGCCUACAAGUAGUUAGAGCCCGUUAAUGGGUGAUAGCGUGCCUUUUGUAGAAUGAACCGGCGAGUUACGAUUUGUUGCAAGGUUAAGCGGAAAAAGCGGAGCCGUAGCGAAAGCGAGUCUGAAUAGGGCGCAUAAGUAACAGGUCGUAGACCCGAAACCAGGUGAUCUACCCAUGUCCAGGAUGAAGGUAAGGUAAUACUUACUGGAGGUCCGAACCCACGCACGUUGAAAAGUGCGGGGAUGAGGUGUGGGUAGCGGAGAAAUUCCAAUCGAACUUGGAGAUAGCUGGUUCUCUCCGAAAUAGCUUUAGGGCUAGCCUCGAGGUAAAGAGUCAUGGAGGUAGAGCACUGUUUGGACUAGGGGCCCUUCUCGGGUUACCGAAUUCAGAUAAACUCCGAAUGCCAUGUACUUAUACUCGGGAGUCAGACUGCGAGUGAUAAGAUCCGUAGUCGAAAGGGAAACAGCCCAGACCACCAGUUAAGGUCCCCAAAUAUAUGUUAAGUGGAAAAGGAUGUGGGGUUGCUUAGACAACCAGGAUGUUGGCUUAGAAGCAGCCACCAUUGAAAGAGUGCGUAAUAGCUCACUGGUCGAGUGACCCCGCGCCGAAAAUGUACCGGGGCUAAACAUAUUACCGAAACUGUGGAUGAACCUCUUUAGAGGUUCGUGGUAGGAGAGCGUUCUAAGGGCGGUGAAGUCAGACCGGAAGGACUGGUGGAGCGCUUAGAAGUGAGAAUGCCGGUAUGAGUAGCGAAAGAAGGGUGAGAAUCCCUUCCACCGAAUAUCUAAGGUUUCCUGAGGAAGGCUCGUCCGCUCAGGGUUAGUCGGGACCUAAGCCGAGGCCGAUAGGCGUAGGCGAUGGACAACAGGUAGAGAUUCCUGUACCAGUGCUAAUUGUUUAACCGAUGGGGUGACACAGAAGGAUAGGGAAUCGCACGAAUGGAAAUGUGCGUCCAAGCAGUGAGUGUGAGAAGUAGGCAAAUCCGCUUCUCGCGAAGCAUGAGCUGUGAUGGGGAAGGAAAUUAAGUACGGAAGUUCCUGAUUUCACGCUGUCAAGAAAAGCCUCUAGGAAGAGUAGUACUGCCCGUACCGCAAACCGACACAGGUAGAUGAGGAGAGAAUCCUAAGGUGAGCGAGAGAACUCUCGUUAAGGAACUCGGCAAAAUGACCCCGUAACUUCGGGAGAAGGGGUGCUCUAUUAGGGUGCAAGCCCGAGAGAGCCGCAGUGAAUAGGCCCAGGCGACUGUUUAGCAAAAACACAGGUCUCUGCAAAACCGUAAGGUGACGUAUAGGGGCUGACGCCUGCCCGGUGCUGGAAGGUUAAGAGGAGUGCUUAGCUUCGGCGAAGGUACGAAUUGAAGCCCCAGUAAACGGCGGCCGUAACUAUAACGGUCCUAAGGUAGCGAAAUUCCUUGUCGGGUAAGUUCCGACCCGCACGAAAGGCGCAACGAUCUGGGCACUGUCUCAACGAGAGACUCGGUGAAAUUAUAGUACCUGUGAAGAUGCAGGUUACCCGCGACAGGACGGAAAGACCCCGUGGAGCUUUACUGCAACCUGAUAUGGAAUGUUUGUACCGCUUGUACAGG
This 2149-nucleotide ribosomal RNA is filed under the name Listeria monocytogenes. RNAcentral describes it as "partial 23S ribosomal RNA". It matches the Rfam family "Bacterial large subunit ribosomal RNA", at positions 1 to 2142 of the family's 2925-position model. The record is from RNAcentral. Lineage: Bacteria; Bacillati; Bacillota; Bacilli; Caryophanales; Listeriaceae.